Non-coding RNA from Rattus norvegicus (Norway rat), 4818 nucleotides. The record is from RefSeq and is a predicted model, not a curated record. NCBI's taxonomy places the organism in Eukaryota, Metazoa, Chordata, Mammalia, Rodentia, Muridae.
AUGUAAUCAAGAAACUGACUCAGAAGGACCUUUACCCUAUCUGUUUUAUCAUAACACAUUACCUCAUUUUAUCCCCAAAGCCACUCACUGGCAGACAAGAGAGCACUUCUUCUAGCCCUUUGGGUUAAGAUCAAAUGUAAAGAGAAAAAAGAUCAAAUUCCAAAGCAGAGGCUGGAGGAAAAGUCUCUGUGCUUAAGAGCACUGGCUGCUUUCUCAGAGGACAUGGGUUCAAUUCCCAGCAGUUACAUACAAAUUCACACUGCCUAUAACUCCUGCUUUAGGGGAGCUGAUGCUUUCUUCUGGCCUCCCAAGGAGUUAGACACCAAGCAUACACACCUAUAUACAUAGAAAUAAAUAAAUAUAAUUAAAUAAAGGAGAGCACCAUCACAUUUCACAGUUAUUUAAAAGCAGAAAGAAAGGCAAAUGACAACGAAGUUUAAAUUUGUUCAAAAUCUCUCAUACCUAGUAUGGUAAGGAUAUUAAUUCCAGCACUUGGGUGUUAGGAACAGGAGAGUAUUCAUACUAUGUAGUAAGAGUUUGAGGCCAGCCUGGGCUACAUGAGACCUCUAUUAAAGUAACUCUGCCAAUUCUAGCGUUUCAAUCAGAACUUGUUUCUUUUACAUUUCAAGCCAGGAUAUGUUUCCUGCCCUCAUUCCUGGGGCCUUCCUUUUUACUCCCUCUCCUCCCUUCUUUCAUCUCCUUUCUCCCCUUCUUAGGAGCCAGGACCAAUAGAUCUUAAACAUGAAGCGGGUUGACAUACCCAUCAUCCCUGGGCUGCCAUAACGAAAUGCUGCACACUAGGGGUCUUAAGCAACAGAUGUUUGUUAUUCCAAGGCUUGAAGCUCAAGGUCAGUGUGCUGAUGCCACGUGACCCACAUCCCCAAACUCUGCUUCUGUGCCUCCCCAACCAUGAUGGAUAAUAACCUAAAACUCUAAUCAGCAGAAAAAGAAAAGAAGACACCAUGCAUUGGAACCAUUUCUGUGGCUGUGGUAAAGCACAUGACCACAGGUAACUUAGAGAGGAAGUGUAUUUGGGUUUACCAAUCCAGAGAGAUAAGAGUGCAUCGUGGCAGGAGGCAGAUGCCACCAAAAAAGAAAAAAAAAAAUGGAUCACAGGAGCCUCAGGAAGAUGACCCUGGAGACAGCAUCUCCUGGAGAAGUGUCUGCCAGAGUUUAUGAGUCCCAUGUAAAUAUGCCUGGAUGCCGCUGCCAGUGACCUUUACACUGUUUGCAUUUCAGGAAGGCUCCAAACAGAGUUUCUGUCCUUGCAGAGCCUUAGGAUUCUAGACUACACUUGGGAAAAACAAUAACUAAACCAGAUUCCACCUGAGCUGAAAUACAGAAGUGACAAUGUGGGGAAUGUCAUCAUAACACCUUUCUCCUCCCUGGGUGAGCCCUGGGCCUUAAGAAUUGUGUGCAGUACUUCCUGCACGGAGCACUCGGUCCCAGCAACUUUCACAGAUUUUGAUCUGUGUGUCCUUGGUGGCAUUGGUACAUAAAACUGCUUGUGUACAAUUCAGGGUCUGCUUGUUCCUUCCGAAUAAACCACAGCUAUUCCUUGUCAUCAUAAGAGUCAAGAAAAAGACUGAAGAACAUUAGUUCGCAGGAAGAACAAAGACCAAGACAAGAACAACCUCAAGUAACAUUACAGACUGGUUUCCACCAGAAAUAUGUAAUACUACUAUGGUUCAACCGGAGUUAACUUUUUAAGUGAAAUUUCUUGAGCUAACGUCUUCUAUGAUUAUAAACGAGAAGCCUGAGGCACUGCGCCUUCAUAGUAGUAUUUUCUGUUUGGCAGUUUCUCCAAAUGAACUCUUUGAGAAGACAAGAAGAGAGAAAGGCUCUGUUCAAAACCAUAUGUUAAAUAUGGACCAGUGAUGAGACUCAGACUAAACUUGGGUCUCCUGACCUGAACCCCAGAACUCCUCCCAUCCUUGUCUUUUUCACCUCUUAACAUCAAGAAUCUCACUGAUUUGAGUGGAAACAACAGCAAGGAAUGACAGGCAAAAGCUAUUGAGAGGAAGAACUGAGGGGAAGUUCAAACCUUCAAGGCAAGACUCUACUUAGUACCCCAAGAGGCUACACUUGACUUUCUAUAUGGAUUGGAUAAAUAAUACCUGGGAUUCUCACCACGUGAAGCAACUUCUUAAUAUCUCAUAGUUAACUCUUUGCAUAUAAUAUAAAAUUGGAUCCCUCUCCCUCUCCCUCUCCCUCUCCUCUCCCCUUCUCUCCCUCUCCCUCUCUCCCUCUCCUCCUUUCCUCUUAGCUGACCAAUGAGAUCAGCCAUAGAUUCUGAUCUCUCAUUUCUCUUUAAACAUUUAUGUUGCUCAGAAAGUCUUGGUCGUGCCUUUAAAUCCUGAUGUUUGCGGAACCUUCUGGAAUCAUUGUAAAACUAGUGAAUCUGGAGAAGAGCCAACACUGGCUUCAUAACCACAUCAUCGUUCUGAUCCAAUUACUUCGUGGUUACUCAUCACUGACAGCUUACUUUCUCUCAUGCUUCCUUCUUCUAUUUCUUCUUGUCUUUAAUACUCUCUCAUUUUUUUUACCUUCCUCUCCCUCUUCCUUUAUUCACUUUCUCCAAAUUACUUAGCAGACACUAUUGAUUUAGUUCUUAUUCCUGAUUUAUUUUAUUAAUUACAACACUAGCAAUGGGCCAAAGCAUGGGCUAAGUUGAUCAACGGAUGUAUUUCACUUCUUAGUCAAUAUCAACUAAAGCCUAAACUGUGGCAAAAUUAUCUCAUUACACAUUUAAUCAUCUCAUGGGCACCCACGUGCUCUGUUUCUCUUGUGUGUCUUAAGAUGUGUGAGUUUUAAAAACCUUUGUAAGUGAAGACAGUACCCAUUGCCCAUGAUCUAUUGUAACAAUCACUACACAGCUUCUGUAGCAUUAGAUUUUGAGGCUGCUUUUAAUUUCCAACUUGAUUGGCUUGAGGAAAAUGCUGGACAGUUUAGAUAGCACACCUCUGAGUGUAUCUGUAUGGUAUUUUCCAGAGGUAAGUAGAUCCCUAGGACUUUGACACAGUGACUGAAUUAGUUACUGCAUCUACCUGAAAGCAUACUGGGAUGUGGGUAAAGGUAAGUGGAGAGGCACAGUUGGGUCAAGUAGGACUUUGAAGGCUCUCCCUUUCCCUGGUCAUUCUCUGUAUUUCCUUUUGUUCUGUCUUUCCGUCCACCAUAGUGUGAGCUCUUGUUCUCUGCUACAACAUCUCAACUCUCACCUCUGAAACCGUGAGCAAAACAAACAGCUCUUCACUUUCUUAAAAUCUCCACAAGUUAUUUCCUCAUAUUGAUGAGAAGAAAAGCUAACACGAUAGCUAAUCUUCACCUGUCAUCUCCAGCUCCAUAUCAGCCUGCAUCCUGCCAGUGAUGGACUACAGCUCUGAACUAUAAGCCAGCCUAAUUCAAUGCUUUCCUUUAUAAGAGUUGCCAUGCUGGUCGUGGUAUCUCAUCACAGCAAUUAAAUCUAAGACAAGGAAUAUUGGAAUUAUAUGUCCUUGCUUAUUGGGAUGGUAAGAUGAGAAGUUAAUUUUAGCAUCUGUUCUUUUCUUUUGGCACACUAGAUGUCAAACAUGAGAUUCAGCUUUAGGAGGACAUUAAGGUUUUGCAAAAGAAACAAGCGUUUCACAUGAAAGAACAGACAAGAUUCUUACCAUUCCUCCAUCAUGGUUACCUUUAACUAUCAGAUAAACACAACCUAGAAUUAUCUGGGAAGAGAAUCUCAAUGAAAGUAUUGCUCGGAUCAUAUUGGCUAGUGGGCAUGUUGUGAACGACUGUCAUGAGCAGCGCCAAUCCCUGAGCAGAGGUUGUCCUUAACUGUGUAAGAAAGCUAGCUGUGCAUAAUUCUGCCCAUCAACUAGCAAGCAAAGUUCGCCAUGGCUUCCACCAUUUUUCUUAGGCUGUGAUUAAGUUCAUUGGUCAGAGAUAAUUCUGUAAAUAAUAACAAAAUGGUAUGCUGGGUUGCCUUUUGGUUCCUGCCUUGGCUUUUCUCAAUGAUAGAGCAUGGCCAGAAACUGUAAGCUGAAUAAACCUUCUUCUCCGUUCUGUUGCUUUCUUCUUAGGGCGUUUUUAUCAAACAAAAAUUCAAGGUAUUAUAAAGCACAGAACUUUGCAUAGAUUCUUGGUGUUCACACAGAUGGUCUUGUUUUGUCUGUUUUCCUGGAACUGCAAGUCCUUGAGGAGAUGAGCACUCAGCACCCACCCCCCCUUUUAUGUGAUACGAUCAAUAAUUCCAGAAUAAGCCGAUCGAAAAAUGGGCCUAAACCUAAUACCUAAUGUUUUGUUGCUUUAUCCAUUUUAGAAAUCUAUUUUAAUGUUCCUGCAAAAUUCUGAGAGUUUCAUAAUGCAAGUAUUGAAGUGGGCACUUUGAGUGUAAGGAAGCAAACACAAAAAGGUCUGUGAUACGGUUCAGGCUACAAGCAGAGUUAAAGUUGAAUGGCUGUCACAGACAUGAGCUAUUUCAGGCUAACUCAGAUAUGGCUUUUCCGAGGUUCAAUGUUGUUAUGUCUUGGAACCCUCACAGCUUAGGUGUUGAAGCUUGUUUCCAGCUGACAAUACCAGUAAGGGUUGACUGGAUCCUGCAGGCAUGGUUAGCUGGCUAACCUGUUGAUAAGCUCCUAGUAGACAAAGGUGGGGUUUCACUGGAAGAAAUGGAUCCCUGGGGGGAGAGAUUUGUAGGUUAUCACAUUAUCUUUGCUCCUUCCUGAGUCAAUCUCCCUAUUUCUUCUUCUCUUCAUUGUCUUUCCUCCCUCCCCCACCCAACUCUACUUCCUGAUUACUGUGAAUGAGCAACUUGUUCCUUAUUCUUCCCAUCAAGAUUCU